GUCACAGCAUCCAGCCAAUUUCGGCCAGGCCUCUGACAGACGGACGUGGUGAUCUCGAACUGACAAGCAUCCUCACUUGAAUGGCUCUGUCCUCUUCUAACAGGCACAUUCUGCUGCUCUCCUCUUCUUUCUCUCUCGCGCGGGUGCUGCUCCUGCUCCUCUCAACUCUCACUUCUGCUGCUGCUGCUCCUUUCGAAUCUCACUCCUGCUGCUCUACAAUAGUAAUUUUUUAUGCUACUUCAUCUCUACCUGAGAAAAGAAUGGUGAUGGUGUUUUGAUUCCCUUUACCUUUACCAGUACUAAUUGGUCAUUAGCAUCUGGGAAGAAGGCUUCCCCACGCCAGUACAAGCUUUUUAAUGUGUGCAUUUUGUUACAGCAAAAACUAAACGGGUGGCAAGAUGAAUAUAGUUGUUAUUAAACACCCAACUGGUGCAUGGAAUUGAGGCAAUUGAUGCACUGGUUUGUGCUUUGCUCAUUCCAUUGCUGCAUUGUUUUGUGCUUGGGAAUAGAGUAGAGGGUGGUGUACACGAAGCUGGAGGUCGGCAAGUCGGGCAAGGCCACGGGAGUUGAACUAUAGAAAAAAAUAUAUCAGCCCAAUGACAGAAAAACAUCAGUUCAAAAAUAUACACGCAGGAGGCUUGGAUCAAAAAAGCAGGCCACGGCGCACCUCCACCUCCCUGCCGUGGCGUGCCUCCACAUCCCGGCCGUAGGCAUGUGCAAUUACUGACUGCUUCUUGCUUCCACUUUUUACAUGAUUUAGUGUGUGCACUAUAGGAGUGCUUUUUGUCUCGGUAGAUCAGCUGCUCAACAACAUAAUCAUGUACCGGUCAGUACAUGUAUUACUGCUGGGGGGUUCAAAAAUCAGAACUCAAAAAGUUCAACCUUGGUGGUAUUGUGCACAUGCAAAAUUAGAUAAAUACUUGUUAAAAUUGCUCCCAGUAUUUGACAUAUUCCAUGCAAUGCUUACUAGAUUGUUCUAAAAAAAGUGUCAUGUAUAUGUGAAUUUACUAUUGGUAUAGCAGUUAAAUAUGUAUUAUAUCACCCUUCAUAAUGAAAUGCAGAAACAGUUCGAUGUGUGUAUAUGCAUCCGUUCAUACUUGUCAUUUCUUUUUUCCUUUGUUGUUUUUUCUUCGUACACAUAUGGUUCAGGAAAAAAAGUGAUCCAAAGUUCAAAGAAAAACCAUUGUGGAGUUGAUGUUUCAAAGCGAAGAACGCCUGGUUACGUUGUGCCCACUAGGGCAGGGGAAAAACCAGAUGCACAUGUUCAUAUUUUGAGACACACUUAGUUCAAAUCUAAUUUUAGUUCAGUGCAGUUCUUAUUUUUACUUAAGCCCAGUUUAUUAUUUUACUAUAGUGUUAUAGUGGACUUUUAGGACUACUUUCAUAGUUGUGGAGGUUCAUAAAGAUGUCAAAGUUCAUGGAUAUAUAACAUAAAGGUUCAAAUAUCAAACCAGGAUAAAUUCACCUGCAGCAGUUCAACAGGGGCACGGGGUUCAGUUCAACGGUGACGAGUCAGGCAGCCGGCCUUCGCAUAACGAACUGGUGCAGUUUGAUCUUGUGCGAAUUGGAAAUCCCCUAAUGUUGAGUGCGUCAGCACAACCCUACGCUUCAAGGCACACGUGCAUCCACUUCACGUGUUAGUCAAUAGUAUUGUGCAUUUGCUUGGUACCUUUGCUACUCUAGUUACAUAUCACUUGUGAAAUCAAACAAAAUUUGUUGUUCACUUUUCUGUGUUUUGUUGAAUAAUUCUCAUGUUGUCUUCUAAGGCAUUAUUCUUUUAAUGUGCAAAAUCCUGAGCAAAAAUGAUACAUUUUAGUUUGCUUUGCCGCAAGGGCAUUGAUGAAACUUAAAUCCUGUCUCAACUAUAGCCAUCCAUUUUGAAAUAGAUGUUACUUUACUUCGGGUGGUUUCUGAAUCACAUUUCACUAAAAAAAUGUAAUAGUGAAAUUAUACUGAAUAACUAAAUUAAAUUGUAGUGACAAAAACACCAACAGUACAUGCAGGGUCAGUGAUGUAGGUCCACAGAAAAUAAUUAUUAUGUAAACUUCCCUCUCCUGAUGCGUAUAAACAAAAAAAAGUUUUCAAGAGGUCAUAAUCACUGCUUAAAUGAUGUUGGAAGGCGGGAAAGAAAAGCUGCUCUUAAAUGUGACAUGUAGUUGAUAUGUCUCCAACGUAUCUAUAAUUUUUGAUUGUUCCAUGCUAUUAUAUUAUCUGUUUUGGAUGUUUAAUGGGCUUUAUUAUGCACUUUUAUAUUAUUUUUGGGACUA
Aegilops tauschii subsp. strangulata is the source of this 2267-nucleotide non-coding RNA. The record is from RefSeq and is a predicted model, not a curated record. Lineage: Eukaryota; Viridiplantae; Streptophyta; Magnoliopsida; Poales; Poaceae.